This 6329-nucleotide unclassified non-coding RNA is filed under the name Leishmania donovani. RNAcentral describes it as "gene:LdHU3.21.1900(CDS-product:PB1_domain_contain ing_protein_putative)". Lineage: Eukaryota; Euglenozoa; Kinetoplastea; Trypanosomatida; Trypanosomatidae. The record is from RNAcentral.
UCCAUUCUCCUGUCAAGCGAGCCGACGGCGCCCUCACUCGCUCGCAGUUCUUUGUGUCCUCUUGCUUUCGAUUCUGCAUCGCCAUCCCUCUCGCCCUCCUCCACUGCUCUCCGCUUGCUGGCUUGGGGAAAAAGGUGUUGAUGCUAGACGCUGAGUCAACAUUUUCAGCUGUGUUGCGAGCUUCCCUGCCGGCUUUGUGCAGCUCGUCCUUCUGUGUGUCCCUCUCGACCCCUCCACGUGCCGCCUCCAGUGCUACCCCCGGUAUCAUCAUCAACGCUGCCCCUUCACCCCAUCCCACCCCCAGCUCUUUGCUGCCUCCCUUCCCUUGUUCGCCUGUGCACCACUCCGGGCUCGGAGAGCAGCUCUCACCUCCACCAUCCCGUUCUCUCCCGCCGCCGCACACGUUCGUCUCAUGAGCCACGGCGGAGAUAAGACACCCGGUGCCGCUACAGUGGCACCGCCGCCUGCACUCAGUGCAAACAAGAAGCACGACCGCAGCAGCGGCAGCUAUGCCAAGAGUUACGGCCGUGAAAGCUAUGAGAAACACAAGGCGAAGCAGGUGCGCUCCUUGCAGCCUCCUCAGGAACCGCUGAGGCAGGUCAACGCCAACGCUGCCGCGGUGCCUCUCAGCACCGAACCGUCCCUGCGGCCCUUCGCUCCACACGAGCCAGUUGGGCUGGAGUUGUCACUGCCUUCGUCGACGGACUUCGACGACGGCGAGGUUGAGGUGAGCCCACUCACAACGCCAUCGCAGUCGUAUGUUCCGAAGCAUCGGCGCCGCCAGGGUGGCGAUCACGUGCGCCCGUUGCAGCAGGAUGUCGCAGCCGCAAAGGUGCUGCGGCACACUCCCCCUCUACCACAUCAGUUACAACAGCAUGCUGACCCGACCGCGCUGCCAGAGCAUCGGCGCGUCGCCCUUUCCAAAGGCAGCGAAGAACUCCUACAGCAUCAUGCGACUGGAAAGGAGAACAUGAGCAUUGGCUCUCACGCGGCGCCGUCUCCUGCUGGUGCCACAGCCGCUUCAGCAACCUCGCUGCAGUCGGUGCCGAAGCCCGCGUCUUCUGCAGAAGUGAAGCAGCGCACUGUGAGCUCCGCGUUCCAUCCGGCCACCUCUGCCGCCGCCGCCACGCCGGCCACCGACUUCCGUCGCACCGCCUCUGGCCACGUCCAUCAGCGUCCGCUCUCUUUAUCGGGUGCAGCCACUGCACCACGGCAAUCGCCAGUCCCAUCGACGCUCACGACGAGUGCCGGCCGACGCGGCGGCGCGACGGCUGCAAAAGUUCCACAAAAACGCAUCGCCAGUGUCAAGUCACGACCGCUGACCACCGCGGCACGCAAACAGCCGCCGUCUCUGUCCAACGCUGAAGCAGAAACGGCGGAGAGACACGAGUCUCCUGCGCCGACCCCAACAGCGGCCGAGCGGGAGCGCUCGCCAGAGAUGGACGCCGGGCUGCGAUACCAGCUGUACCAGAUGGAGUCGGUGCUCGACUAUGUGGCAGAGGUGGCGACGGCGCUGGGCGAAAGACGCCGGUGCGCGGCGCCUCCGCAAUCGACGAAGGGGUUCCGCGCCUCUGUCGUGCCCACUCGGCGCUGUGGUGGGACCAGCUCUUCCCCUGAGGCGCUGGACGGAAGCGAUGUUGACUUGCCAGACCACUCUGUGCGUGUUUGCAGCAGCGGCGGCACCGUUGCUUUUCUGCCCGACAUACACCAGGCCGCGAGCCGACUCCUCAGCGCCUUCACGAAGCUUGAGUACGUUCAGCUCAGCGAGGAUGUGGAUAUGCCGCUUCUCGAGCGCGACGCCGUGGAGUACAGCGCGCGGCUACUGCGACUCGUCGACGGGGUAGAGCGGCAGCUGUCGCUGCACGAAGACACACUCGUUCGUCGAAGGCUUUCAGAGCGCCGCGACAUCUUUCGCGCCAUGCACCAGCUGGUGCACUUUAUCGUCCGCAUGACCCACGAAGUGGUACUGCUCCGUGACUUGGCCCUGCGCCACGACUUGGGUCAGGUUUUGGAGGCGUGGGGCAGCUUCAGAGCAGGUGUUGAGGCCCAGGCCCAGGCGGCUGCAGACGCCAGCGACAUUUAUACCCGUGACAAGUCUGAAGACGCCGCAGCGUCGUCGGCUCCGCCGUUGCUGCGGAAGCACCUCAUCUUUCCAAUCGCGAUGAUGCGAGGGAGCUCGUUCUUCGUGUGGUUGGAAGGGCGGUGGCUCCCAGCGAUGCAGCAGUGGCGCAAGCUCGUCUUCGACGCACUCCAAGCGGCGAGCAGCGGCGACACUGAAGGCGCCAUUCGCCGUUCGCGGCAGGAGGCGCUACGGAUCGACGGCUUGGAGGAGAUCCUGCGCCCUGGCGAGACCAUCACCACCCUCCUCCGCGAGCAGGUGGAGCAGCCGAUUGAGGAGCUUGGUAGAGCCUUUUCGAUGAAACAAGCGGCCAUGGCUGCACUGCGCGAAGUACUGGAGGGCGCCGAGGCCACCGACGGCACACUGAACACCGCGCACCUGUCGAAAGCACUCACAGCCGCUCAGGCCUUCAUUGUGGUGCGUGGAGGGCGCGGCAGUGGAGUUGACGAGUUGGCUGCGAGUGUCGGUGGAGACAAGGAGGACGCCGAACUGGUGUGCCGCGCGGAAGAGCUCCUCGCACGUCUUGCCGAGGCAGAUGUGCUUCACCGCGCCACCAAGGCCGCGCUGCAGCACCCUGCGCCGGAGCUGGUGACUGCGCUGGAACACAUCACACGUGCCAACGAGCUGCUCCUUCUCUGGAGACGCGCGCGCGACGUGACGUCAGCUCAGACAGCUCUUGCUGCCGGUCGCGCAGCGCUGGACGCGUACAUGCAGCGGCUACACAGCGGACGUCUCUCCGACAACACGAGCUCGCUGAGCUCAACGAACGGCGAGGUCUCGACUGGCAAGUGCAUGACGCCGUCGCGCGUGAACGGCAGCUCCACUGCUGCGCCGGUGCCUUGGAUCGGCGACGGCUUCCCGGCCUCCUUCGACGUCCGUUCCCUGUACGUGGCCCACACGCCAGGCGGCCCAUGGUCGAAGGACCUUAGCAUGGCGUACAUGGAGCUCUGCGAAGUCUUUGGGACGCUGUACACCCAACGCCAGGCACGGCGGGAUCUGGAGCUGGCGCUGGCCCGCCCUUCUGUGGACGAUUACGGGGCUAGGCCCGCGGUCGCCCUUUCGCUCUCCCCGCAGGUGACACCCCGCCGCCCCACUCGCGAUGCCCUGUCGCCGGCCGACACACUGCAAGUCAGCGACGACGGUGCUAACGCGCACUGCCGCAGCUUACCUUGCUCCACCGGUGGGACGGGAGAGACCCACGCCAGUGACGGCAGCACGCCACCUGCGCAUAACGUGCCUAAUGGUCCAAGCGCAGAGGAACUGCACCGGUGCAUCCAGCAGGCCGAAGAGGCCGGCGUUGGCGGGCCGCUCGUCGAGGAAGCGCGCGCGCGGCUGCGUCUCCUGGACACGCUGCGGCUGAAGAUUCACUUCGACGCCCAGACGCGUGUGCUGCCCGUCGCCGACGCAGCGCAGGCCUCAUUUCACGACGUCUAUAAGCAAAUCCAUGACUUCUGCCAGACGCAGCUGCAGCAGCCGCAGCGGGCCGCGGGGGCUGAGCGCCGACUGCGUAUUCGCUACGAGGACACCGAAGGUGACUUCAUCUCUCUCCUGGAUCAGCAAGACUGGCACAUGAUGCUGAGCGAGUUGGCGCCGCGUGGGUGUGGUGGAGUCAAGAUCGAGCUCUUCUGCGACUACCCCACGGUACCUGGCAUGAUGAACAACUCCAUGGCUGUCCCGAACGGCGAUGACGUGCCGCGCACCGGUGUUGAGUCGGAGCUGGCAAGCGGUGACUUUCAAACAGAGACCGCACCAGAGGCUAGCACACCAGCUGGCCCUGCUGCUGUAGUCGGGUCCGCCGCUGCCACGCCAGAGAAGCGGACGAAUGUGUUUCAGCGCCUCGCGUCGGCGUCGAAAAGCUCUGCCGUGGCGCCAGCAGCCAGCGCGCAGCGCAAGCCGCGGAUGCACCCUCAUUCCCUCGGGGCUACGUCGCCGCAUCGAGCACUUCUGCCGCCGCGCACUCGUGGCAUCGGCUCUGGUGCAGUUCGCACUGUGUCCCCGCAGAAGGGCGGCGCAGCUUCUCGCGCCGCUGUCGGCGGUGGCUCUGCGCGCGGGAAGGACUCAUCUUCCUCGGCUGCCACAGGCGCGGCGGCCCCGAAGACAGCGGCGCUCACCGCAGCGAACCUGCGGCGUAACCUGCUCUACCGGCAGGCGCCGCCCUGCCCUGAAGGCGCGGAGGCUGCGGUUCAGGAGGAGGUGCGGCGAUCAGGUGGGCGAUCUUCUAGCGAUGGGGUGACCACUGUGGCCAGACCGGCAGCGGCAGAAGCCGAUGGCUACAAAGCCGCAAGCACUGUAGCGCCGGCCUCAGCAGCUGCGGCUCACAACUCGGUGCGCAACGGCAACGCGAACGGUUACGGGGAGCGGGAAAGCAGCGCGGCGAACCUCAACCUCGACAUGGCCCGGCGCUGGGAAAUGCCGAGUGACGACGAGCUGCAGCUGCUGGAGAUACAGACGCGCGCCUCCAUGUCAACCGUGUGCCCCAGCCGAUGCAUCGAGAUGCCCGAGUCCAUGACGACGACGUCGCGGCCGACAGGGGUGCCCUCGAGAGCCGGGCCGCCGCGCAACACGUUCACUGCAACUUACUGCUCUCGCAAAGUAGAGCGCAUCAGCGAGCGUGGCAGCGGCGGUGCCGACGAGGCGGUGAGCGACAUCGGUGAGGUGAGCACGGCGCCGAAGAGGCGCCUCUCCCAUUCGCCUUCUCGGCCGCCGCGCCGCUGGGCCUCUGACGCAUUCUCCUUGGACGACGUUGAAACUGUGUGUAGCGAGCGAUCGCGUCUGCCACAGCAGGCUUCUAUGCCGAAGGGACCCACGUCUCUGCCACCGCGCCCCGUCCACGCCGGAGGUGGCGGUGGCACUCGCACGCCGCAGCGCGUUCGGCGCGGUGCUCGCAGCACGCCCACUCGCUCCACCCCGGACGCCGGUGACGACGACCGCGACGGCGGCCAGGGGGACGGCCCAAACGCGUCCGAUGUGCUCUUUGAGGAGAUGCAGCGCAUGCGCGAGGCGAACACUCGGGCCAUGGCGCAGCGCAAGUCAUCAUGGCACUGACGACAGUGUGUGGAGGACUGUCACGGCGCUCGCGCUGCUAUGCGGACGACCACAAACACACAAUCGUGUCAGGGUAGUGGAAUGUCCUCGGUUUUCGUCGUUGUUGCUGCGUGCUCUCGUCGUGCUGGAAUGCCGGGGAUCAUCUACGCACCUGCUCCAUACACCACAACCACCACCCAUGAACCCCGCCUCCGCGUUGUCCAGAAAGCUACUUGUCAUCAUCUCUAUUUUCUUUCUUUUUCAUCUCGGUGGUGCUCCCCUUCUCUCUUGCGUGGGUGGGUGUGUCUUGGUUCUCCACACCAACUCACCCACACACCCCUGCCCACCUUUGUUCUAGAUGAUAAGGCGUAUGCGCGCUCGUUUCUUACCCCUUGCUCGCUUGUUUCACUUCUUGUAGACUCUUCACCCUCCUCCUUCCUCUCUCUUCUCUGGCUGGCACCACUGUCUGUGUGUGAGAGGUCUCGUCGUUCGCAUCACCCCUCUCCCUCUCUUGCCGAGUAUGCGCGAGUGCAUUGUGCGCAGUGCGUGUGCGUUGUACGUCCUUCGUGUCUCACGUGAUGGCUUCUCAGGCUGGGCGUGCCGCACCGCUCACUCGGUCGCUGUUGUUCUCUUGCUCGCUGGUUUUGGCACCCCACUCCCUCCUCAUUCCCUACCUCCCUCCCUCCCCCUCCUCCAUCCUGCUCUUCCUCCUCCUCCUUUGUAUUUUGUGUACGCAUGCGUCGCAGUUGCACUCACGAGCCCUCUUGUACGUCUCUCUCUCUUGUUUCUUUUUUUUUCUUAUCUUUGUUGGAGCGCGUGCGUGCGUGCAUGUGAGGGGGGCUGCACGUGGCGUUCUCCGUUUCUCCCUGGCGCACUUCCGCCUCUCGCCACGGUCGCGCCGCGCACACAUCACGAAAACGUUAAACAGGUCAAGUAGGGGUGGUUCGCGGCGGGUGGAAGGUGAAAACAACAACAGCAACGAACGGUGACAACGAAGAAACAUGCAAGUAGCAGAGGGCGGCACGAGGCGGGUCCGCAGGGCCGGAGAAGACACGGCCCCGGUCAACUCCCUCUCUCCUCCCUCACCGGCACGCACACAGAGACGCGGAUGUGGACGAGCCGCGCUGAGUCAGUGACGGCGCUUGGUACGAUGUGUGCCGUGUGGGAGGGGGGAGAAGCCCAUGAU